ACCGAUGAUGGUGACUACAACAUCAAGCUGCGCAACCUGAUCAAGUUCCUGGAAGAGGGCGACAAGACCAAGAUCACCCUGCGUUUCCGCGGCCGUGAAAUGGCCCACCAGGACAUCGGCAUGCGCAUGCUCGAGCGUCUGAAAAUGGACCUGGAGCCGCAUGGCCAGGUCGAGCAGUUUCCUAAGAUGGAAGGCCGCCAGAUGAUCAUGGUGCUGGCGCCUAAGAAAAAGAAGUAAUUGCCGCUUUGGCAAAGAAGGCAGACGUCAGUCUGCCUUUUUUAUUUCCUGGACAGACAUUGAUGCCUU
Molecule: unclassified non-coding RNA, 306 nt
Filed under: Duganella sp. CF458
Lineage: Bacteria; Pseudomonadati; Pseudomonadota; Betaproteobacteria; Burkholderiales; Oxalobacteraceae
Description: Long range pseudoknot
Source: RNAcentral